Molecule: ribosomal RNA, 203 nt
Filed under: uncultured bacterium
Lineage: Bacteria
Description: partial 16S ribosomal RNA
Rfam family: Bacterial small subunit ribosomal RNA
Source: RNAcentral
UACGAAGGGGGGCUAGCGUUGCUCGGAAUCACUGGGCGUAAAGGGUGCGUAGGCGGGUUUUUAAGUCAGGGGUGAAAUCCUGGAGCUCAACUCCAGAACUGCCUUUGAUACUGGAAGAUCUUUGAGUCCGGGGAGAGGUGAGUGGAACUGCGAGUGUAGAGGUGAAAUUCGUAGAUAUUGGAAGAACACCAGUGGCGAAGGCG